This 1801-nucleotide long non-coding RNA is filed under the name Malus domestica (apple). RNAcentral's name for it is "long non-coding RNA (MDOM_LNC014922)". Lineage: Eukaryota; Viridiplantae; Streptophyta; Magnoliopsida; Rosales; Rosaceae. The record is from RNAcentral.
UUAACUAGCCUAUAUACUGGGAAAUCCCGGAAAGUAGCUUAUCCUGAUUGAUUUCAGGCUCAUAAUUUAUGACCUCGAAAAUUUCCCUCCUUUUCUUUGAUAACUUACAAGUAUAGACCACCAGUGCUGCUAAAAGUGCAAUCAGUAAAGCAACUAAUGAGCUCUUGAUAGCAAUGUGGAUCCGAUGAUCUUUGGAUGAGUUUCGUUUGGGAGAGUGAGGAUGAGGAAGAAGCGGAAAUUGUGGCAAUUGUGACACAGGGAUCAACAUGGGAGAGCCUGCUGCGGCGCUGCUAGUAUGUCAAGAACUGAGCUAUCAAACUUGUUACUCACAUUGAAGACAUCAUCAAUGGACUGCCACACAUAAGUAACGAGAAAUUUGACCCCUGCGUUGGAAUGAGCUUUGGAGGGGCACUUGCAGAACAAAGGGAAGAUUAUAUCGGAGCCAGGCAUCACGUCAGUGGGAUUCAAACCGAGAUUCAAGUCCUUCACCGCGCGAAGGUUGGUGAGGUUUUCCAACAAAGUGGCUGGUACGUGGAAAUAAGUGUCACCUCUGUUCAUCCUGAGUCACAUUGGCAAAGUAGUGGUUUCCGGUGAAACCACAGUUGAUAGGUAUUAGUAAGGGCUGUCCCGGAACCAACUGGCCAUCAGCGGAGACUUGUUUAUUCGCUUUUGAAACCGAUGAGCGACUAACACCGAAGACAUCAGCUAUGGAUCCAAGAUCCUUGUAGCUUUGUAGCUUGGGGGCUGGGAAAUGUACAUGACAUAUGCUUGACAUGAGGUAGGGGAGUCUGCAGAGCAUGAAAAAUCAGGGCCUGUGGUGGGUAGCAAUGCAGAUGCAAAGUUGCUGCUCGAAAACGAUACGAAAAUUAGGAGAAAGAUGACCGCCAUUGGUGUUGAUGCAACUUCAACAGCUAGAGUUGCAAGAAAAACAAAUGACUUUGUGCUUGAUUCUGAUGAAUGAAGAAUUACAAGGAAAACAGGCCUUUUAUAGACCUGAGUUUUUGACAAUUUUUCAGUUGCUGACAUGGCAGUUCCUCAGCUAUGAAUUUGUACUUGAAUAUCUUAUUGCAUCUUGAAAUUGAUAAUAAAUUCGAGAAAAAGAUUAGAAACUUGAUUAGGAUUAAAUCAUGCUUAAAAUAAGAAGUUAGAUAUACUUGUCGUUAUCCGGCCUGGCUAAUGAGUAUUUGACACUAUAGUCAAACAGAGGAUUAGUCAUUAAUUUAAGUUUAAUACAGAGCCCAUGAUUGAAAACGGCUAAAUAGUUUCAAUCUUGCCAAUUCUUAAUGGCUGCCUUCAUUAACCCCACAAAUUGUGCAUGAGAUUUCUAUUUUUUUUAUAAGACAAAAAAUAUUUAUAAUAUUAUAAACUACUCUAACGCAUUAAAUAAGCAGUAUAAAAUGGAUGCCAAAAACGUAUGUACUAUUUUGACAAACUGUCUUAGCUUGCCAUUCCAAUAAGAAUACUGAACUUCAAUCUCUUUCUCCAAAUGUUCGCUCUUUUUUAUAGGAACUUUAACGAAAAGUUCCUGAUAUUGUUCAUUUUAAUGAAAAACCACAUUUUUACACUAAAAAGUCAAUACUGAUACUAUUCACUUUACCUUUUAUUUUGUCCUUAUCGUUAAAACUCAAGAGUUUUAAGUCAUUUUCAUUAGUUUUCCUCUUUUUUAUCUCUCGCUGACUAGUAGAUCGACUUUGCUUCUUGGGAAUCGUGACAUGUUGGGACUCGUAGUAGUAAGGAUGCUCUUUUGCAACCAAAUUUGCCAAGUGUCAAGUUUUUAUUAGUUAGACAAAGAAGUCACAUU